GGGCCACAGCUCAGUGGUAGAGCAUCUGCCUUGCAUGCAGACGCCUCGGGUUCAAUAUCCAACAUCUCCA
This is a non-coding RNA of Podarcis lilfordi (Lilford's wall lizard), 70 nucleotides long. The record is from the annotation of a GenBank genome assembly. NCBI's taxonomy places the organism in Eukaryota, Metazoa, Chordata, Lepidosauria, Squamata, Lacertidae.